GAUGAAGAACGUAGCGAAAUGCGAUACGUAAUGUGAAUUGCAGAAUUCAGUGAAUCAUCGAAUCUUUGAACGCAUAUUGCGCUCUCUGGUAUUCCGGAGAGCAUGCUUGUUUGAGUAUCAGUAAACACCUCAACUUCCAUAUCUUUUUUGAAAUGGGAGUUGGACUUGAGUGAUCCCAACGCUUUUCCUCACCGAAAAGUGGCGGGUUACUUGAAAUGCAGGUGCAGCUGGACUUUUCUCUGAGCUAUAAGCAUAUCUAUUUAGUCUGCCUAAAAAACAGAUUAUUACCUUUGCUGCAGCUAACAUAAAGGAGAUUAGUUCUUGUGCUGACUGAUGCAGGAUUCACAAAAACGGCUUCGGCCGACUUUGUAAACUUGAUCUCAAAUCAAGUAAGACUACCCGCUGAACUUAAGCAUAUCAAUAAGCGGAGGA
RNAcentral lists this unclassified non-coding RNA (432 nucleotides) under soil metagenome. Its description in RNAcentral is "partial contains 5.8S ribosomal RNA, internal transcribed spacer 2, and large subunit ribosomal RNA". The stretch from base 1 to 120 matches the Rfam family "5.8S ribosomal RNA", at positions 35 to 154 of the family's 154-position model. The record is from RNAcentral.